GAAGGCAAACUUGGAGAUGGAGAUUUCAAAGGUGUAAUCCAAAGCCUUUAUUUAACACAACUCAAUAUGUCAUGACUACUAUGCGUUUACAUUGCUGCUUCGUGAUCGGAUUGUGUCCUUGUUUUUCUAACACGUCUUAUUUGAGAAUGCAUUUAAGGUGUUUGAUAAAAAUACUGAUUUACAAUUUCUCUUUAGUGGAAUAUAAUGUCUACUUUUUGGUAAAUAAUGAAGUAUCUAUAGAUUCUACCGCAACAGGAAAAUCAGCACAAGUUAGUGAACUAACAAUUUGCUUAAAUAUCUUAGUUGAAAGGAAGAUUGAGUUAUUAUCAUGUACAACAGAGAACAUGUAAGUGAUCCUGGUGCUGAAUGUUCUGAUGUUAUUAUCAUUCUUGGAUGGUGUUGGAUUCACUUUCAGAUAAACAGCCCUGAGGAUAGGUCAAUGCUUCACGUGGCCCUUCGUGCUGCAAGGGAUGCUAACUGAUGCAAAAAAUGUCGUCCCUGAUGUUUGGUCAGUUCUUGAAGGACAUUAUUGUUGCAGUUGGUAUUGGUGGCAGUUUCUUAGUCCACUGUUUGUACACACUGCACUUCAAACAGAUAAAAAUACAUGCGCUUGCUCACGCACAUCAUGCGGUAUUUGGAGGAAUCACUGUCCUUAGUUGACGAUGAGUAAUUGUGUUGAAAAUGCUUUUAUGUCACCUUGUAGAUCCUGAAGCUAUUGAAUCUGCAUGGGGUUGUGUAGUAUCUAAUGUCAGUGAUGUUUCCAAAGUGUGAUUUCAAGCCUUGCAAAUGUUGAUCCUAUUGACGUUGUUAGGAAUAUCACUGGAUGAAACAGCUCUCGUUGUGAUUGCUUCAAAGACUUUUACAACAGCUGAAACCGUGCUGAAUGCUCGAACUCUUAGAGAAUGGGUUUCAUCUGCCCGAAUAAGUGUAAUAUUAAUAGUAGCUUUUCAGUGUAGGCACUAGGCAUUUGUGGCGGGGUCUGCAGUUUUGUUCCUUUUUUACGCAGAAACUUGUAGAACCGAAUCUGGAACAUAUACUUGUAAUAUACAUCUCAUCCCACACGUUCUAAAUAUACUAACAGUUUGUUUAAAAGAUAGAAAGUGUACAAAAUUGACUUUGAUAAUGAAUUGAAGACUGUCUCAUGGUAUGGUUAUUUCCAGGCCCUCUGCAGUUGCAAAGCACAAUUCUCACGGUUAUUACCAUACUUUACUUUUGUGGCAUUAGCUGACUAAGUUAUCUAUGAUAUGCAUUUCUUUAUUUAUUCAUGAAUCAUGUUAUUGUCUGCUUUCAACUGGUCAUUCCUGUUUGCUCGAUACAUAUACAUGUCUUGCUUCGUAUAUCUUUUAAUGCGUACAUCAUUCGAAAUCACUCACAAGUCACAACUCACUUGCGCCAAUCCUUAUUUUUUAUAUUUUAAGAUUACAACGGGGUGGAGUUCUGAGUUAAUAUUUAACUGGUGCUAUUCUCACACUAUAAAGGCCAUGAAACUUGCAUUUAUCUAUCUAUGAUUAUGGCUGAACCUUACCAUUUCCCCUUUCUUUAAUUUCUGAAACAGCUUGAGCAAAAUUUUGGUAUUGAUCCUAACAAUGCUUUUGCAUUUUGGGACUGGGUUAGUGGUUGGUAUAGUGGUGAGUAAUGUUUCCUCUAUAUCCUCUACCACUCUCAUAUCCUUAAUGUACAUUUGAAGGUUUCAACAAAUUUGAUUACAUGACCUGAAAUGCGGCUUGCAGUUUGCAGUGCUGUUGGCGUGUUAUCGUUAACUACUUAUCUCUACAAUAUGGCUUUUCAGUUAUCGAGAAGUAUGUGUUUUGCUAUUGAUAUCAUCCUAAUAUGCAUUGCCACUUCUUUUUCGUAGAAAUUAUUUUAAUCUACUUUGGUUUGAGUUUAAUCACUCUAUUAUUAACAAUUUUUGUCUAUUACACCCUAGAGUAAGAUUAAGGGGGUUGGACAAACUUCAUCAUGCAUCACCUUCUUCAUCCUUUAAAAUUAUAUUAUUUAUCAAUUUUUAAAUUUAAUUUACUAUCCCUAUAUUAUGUUUUAAGUUUGUUUUCUCCUUUUGAAGUCUUACUUGACAGAACUUUCAGCAUCAAAGACCUGGGACAAUUGAAAUAUUUUCUUAGAUUUGAGAUAGCAAGGUCCAAGCGCGGGAUCACUCUCUAUCAGAGGAAAUAUGUGAUUGAUUUACUUCAUGGCACAGGUCUUCUAGCAGCCAAACCAUGCUCAACUCCCAUGGACUCAACAAUUAAGCUACACAAGAAUUCUGGGAAUUUACUCCUUGAUCCAACUAGCUACAGAACUUUAUUAGGAAGGCUGAUAUAUUUGACUAAUUCAAGACCUGAUAUCUCCUAUGCAGUGAAUAGAAUUAGUAAGCAUCUUUCAUCACUCACAAUUGAUCAUCAACAUGCUGCAUUUCGGGUACUGAGAUAUCUAAAGGAAAGCCCAAGUAAGGGUCUAUUUUUCUCGGCUGAAAACUCAGAGAAACUGUCAGGUUUUGCAGACUCAGACUGGGGAGCAUGUAUGGAUACUAGGAGGUCAGUAGCUGGCUUCUUUUUCUUUCUUGGCUCAUCAAUCAUAUCUUGGGAAAGCAAGAAGCAAUCAGUGGUGUCCAGAUCCUUUUCAAAAGCAGAAUAUCGGGCAUUAGCACAAGCAACCUGUGAAGGACAAUGGCCCGUUUUUUUGCUUAAAGAUCUCAACAUCCAUGAUUCUGCGCCUGUUAAUCUCUAUUGUGAAAAUCAAUCAGCUCUUCAUAUAGCUACCAUCCAGUCUUCCAUGAACGGACGAAACACAUAGAGAUUGAUUGUCACUUGGUUCGUGACAAAGUCCAAGAGGGAACGCUUCACCUGCUUCCGGUCAAGUCUGCUUCACAAGCUGCAGAUAUCUUGACUAAGCCAUUAGCUCCUGGCCCUUUCAAACACAAUUUGUCCAAGCUUGGACUGUUGGAUAUCGACAUUCCAGCUUGAGGGGGAUGUCAAAAUUAGAUACACCACCUUUACUUCUAGGAAAAUUAAUAAAACUUUUUGCAAAUUUAUUGAUAUAUAGUAACCAUUUUUCUUAA
Lotus japonicus is the source of this 3055-nucleotide long non-coding RNA. RefSeq lists it as uncharacterized. The transcript is spliced from 4 exons. NCBI's taxonomy places the organism in Eukaryota, Viridiplantae, Streptophyta, Magnoliopsida, Fabales, Fabaceae. The record is from RefSeq and is a predicted model, not a curated record.